RNAcentral lists this long non-coding RNA (988 nucleotides) under Meleagris gallopavo (turkey). RNAcentral's name for it is "lncRNA (ENSMGAG00000019236.1)". Lineage: Eukaryota; Metazoa; Chordata; Aves; Galliformes; Phasianidae. The record is from RNAcentral.
CUGGAGUCCUCUUGCUUUAAAGUUGCAUUAAUGCAACUUUCCUGAAUUGCUUCCAGCACCUGUCAGAAAGUGACGUGGCAUCCAAAUGCAUUUGUAGUGCACUUCUGAGCUUCUGUAUUCUGUGUGGACCAGUCAGCUGGAAAUGUAUAUUUGAAGUUUGCACAUGGAAAUGUUUAUCUGGAGCACGCCCCACUCUGCAUCACAGCCAUCUGAUGGGGCCCGUGCUGGUUUUUCUCUGUAUCUGUCUGUGUUGCAUUGGUGAUGUCAGUAAGCACAAGCUGGAAAUGGCAUACAGAUUGUUUUAAUUUGCACCAAGGACAAACUUUGCCUCUAUGAAUAAGAAAGCAUUUUUGAAAACAUCCUACCUCUACUGAACUGACUGCUCCUAGUUUCCAGUUCUACAGUAUGUUGUCAGCAGGAUCAGAGCUGGGCCUACAAGCACUCUGCUCUGCCCCAGGCCAUGCUGCUGGCAUGAUGCAGGACACGGAGCUGUGCUGGAGAGCCUGAGCAGCCCCAGUGAGCGUACCAGAGGCUACUGAAGGAAGAAAGUGGAAUUCUGGGCAGUUCAGAGCUGUUGAGGAGAACCUCGCAAUGCUCAACAAUUCCCGAGCAGCCUGCUGUAAAUCUUGUAGCCAGUUCAGCUUUCAGAGGGAGCCAGAAGAGAUUUGUAGAGUUUGGCAGUAGUGUCGUUCCUGAGGAAGACUGGAGAAAGAAAACUCAGAAUCACGGCUAUGAACAGCUCUUUAGAAAUGAAUGGCUAACUCGAGGAAGUCUUGCACACUUGCAGUGCCGUGACGUUCUGCCAUCCGGAGGGGAAUUAAUCGCUGAGUAGCAUGAAGACUGCACAGCACAGACAACAGGCAUGGUCCAGACCUCAAGGGACUAAUUAUGUUCUUAAAGGGUAAGAAAAUAAUCUGAGGUGCACAGGAAAGAAAGUGUCCUAGUAAUGCUCCGUAAUGCUCAUGUUCCCAGAGUUACUGGUGUAUCU